UCUCGGCAACGGAUAUCUCGGCUCUCGCAUCGAUGAAGAACGUAGCGAAAUGCGAUACUUGGUGUGAAUUGCAGAAUCCCGUGAACCAUCGAGUCUUUGAACGCAAGUUGCGCCCGAAGCCUUCGGGCCGAGGGCACGCCUGCCUGGGCGUCACGCAUCGCGUCGCCCCCCCAAC
Molecule: ribosomal RNA, 175 nt
Filed under: Ruellia pennellii
Lineage: Eukaryota; Viridiplantae; Streptophyta; Magnoliopsida; Lamiales; Acanthaceae
Description: 5.8S ribosomal RNA
Rfam family: 5.8S ribosomal RNA (bases 1-153)
About the family: 5.8S ribosomal RNA (5.8S rRNA) is a component of the large subunit of the eukaryotic ribosome.
Source: RNAcentral